GGCGGACGGGGUGAGUAACACGUGGAUAACCUACCUAUAAGACUGGGAUAACUUCGGGAAACCGGAGCUAAUACCGGAUAAUAUAUUGAACCGCAUGGUUCAAUAGUGAAAGACGGUUUUGCUGUCACUUAUAGAUGGAUCCGCGCCGCAUUAGCUAGUUGGUAAGGUAACGGCUUACCAAGGCAACGAUGCGUAGCCGACCUGAGAGGGUGAUCGGCCACACUGGAACUGAGACACGGUCCAGACUCCUACGGGAGGCAGCAGUAGGGAAUCUUCCGCAAUGGGCGAAAGCCUGACGGAGCAACGCCGCGUGAGUGAUGAAGGUCUUCGGAUCGUAAAACUCUGUUAUUAGGGAAGAACAAAUGUGUAAGUAACUAUGCACGUCUUGACGGUACCUAAUCAGAAAGCCACGGCUAACUACGUGCCAGCAGCCGCGGUAAUACGUAGGUGGCAAGCGUUAUCCGGAAUUAUUGGGCGUAAAGCGCGCCUAGGCGGUUUUUUAAGUCUGAUGUGAAAGCCCACGGCUCAACCGUGGAGGGUCAUUGGAAACUGGAAAACUUGAGUGCAGAAGAGGAAAGUGGAAUUCCAUGUGUAGCGGUGAAAUGCGCAGAGAUAUGGAGGAACACCAGUGGCGAAGGCGACUUUCUGGUCUGUAACUGACGCUGAUGUGCGAAAGCGUGGGGAUCAAACAGGAUUAGAUACCCUGGUAGUCCACGCCGUAAACGAUGACGCUGCUAAGUGUUAGGGGGUUUCCGCCCCUUAGUGCUGCAGCUAACGCAUUAAGCACUCCGC
Molecule: ribosomal RNA, 792 nt
Filed under: uncultured Staphylococcus sp.
Lineage: Bacteria; Bacillati; Bacillota; Bacilli; Caryophanales; Staphylococcaceae
Description: bacterial SSU rRNA
Rfam family: Bacterial small subunit ribosomal RNA
Source: RNAcentral